AGAAUUCCCAGAGCCACAACUGAGACGAGUGGGACAAGUCGCACCUCUCGGAGCUACUGUUUCAGGCUGCCCGCAGAUUCAAAUGUGCGACACAGCAUCAGCUGCAUUCGGUUUGCACUUCCUACAUUACCUCCACAGUCACGAGGCCCACACACUUGUUUUUUCAAUGGAAGUGGAUACUCAGGAGUAUAGCGGUAUAGUAAACUCCACAGGUCCAGACUCACGACCUGGCCACCGGAGCCAUCCUGGAAGCUGUUGCUAAGGAGAUUAUCUCAGCUAGGCCAACUUGACCUUUGAUCUUUGCAAAACUCACAAGCAUCUGCUCAAUCUACGUUAGAGGGGAGACUUUCAAGGAAAAGCUGGGUGCUGGAGAAAGCGACGGGACGAUGAAAGGCACUGCUAACUGUGGAACGAAACCUAUCUUUUACAUAAAGAAAAGCCACCAAACCACGUCCUUCAUUGGCAGGGGUUAAAAAGAGCGAUUUUAGACAGCUUCAGCAUUCUUGUGUGGGCUAGUGACUAAUCCCUGAAUGCAAACAGAGCUACAAUGAAGAGUGAACUGUCUAAAGUACUUAUCUCAUCCCCAUUACCAUAGUAUCCAGUGCCUCCCAGUCUUUGAAGACCACCCUUGUCUAACACCAUGCUUGUCAGGUGCUGAGCCACGGACUUAGAUCUGGUCUAUACCACAGAGUUUCACCAGCAUGCAUGUGGCAGGGCACUGUGGGUGCCUGCCACUUUAAGGGCUGAGACAAGCAGCCAGCAGGUGCUUGAUUGCGGCAGCCAUUUUAGAACUCUGGCCACCUAUAUAAACAGAGCAGAUCGUUGCUGGCAGCCAGGCAGAAACAUCACCUGGAUGCCAGGCUGCAUGCAACAUCCUGGAGGGCUACAAAGUGCUUUACAAAGGAGGUCAGUACUGCUAUCUCUAGAAAGGGGGAAACUGAGGACCACAGAAGGGAGAUGGUUUGCCCAACCCGUCCAAACAGAACAAUGGCAGAGCAAGGACGAGACCCCCCAAGAGAUCUGAGCCCCAGUCCAGUUCUCCAUCCACAAGGCCGCUCUGUGGCAAACAGCAAGAGAAAGCAAGUCUGUAGAAAAAUGAUCAUGGAUUUUUACAAUUGUCACAAAUCCCAAGGCACGGGUGUCAAACUCAAGGAACGGGCCCAAUUCCAACCCAGACAACAAUAUUCGGCUGACCUGAGAUUCCUCCGCUGCAUUUUUACUGGAUGCAAUGCUCUUCACCAUUCCCUCUCCCAACACUAUUCAGCAGCUUUUCUGUGCACUGAAAUAUAGUUGCUGCCUUCCAACCCAGAGGUAAAAAUGUAUUAGUUGCAGCCAAGGCCAUUCUUUAUAUCAUCUGUUAACUUUAGGAAUGCUACAGACUUCAAAUCACUAUCAUCAUUAGGGAACUUGCUGAAAAUCAAAAGAAGCAAUGCAAUAUAUUUUCUCUCUGCAAAUCUCGAUUCCAUCAUGAAUUGCAAAACAAUCCAUUGAAAUGGAGGAUUUUAGCAAAGGCAACUGAACCAUUUAAUUGUGGAGGUGCUACAGACUGACAGCUUAGGGCAAUCUGGAAGCUGACGGCUCUCAUGGCUCCCUGCCACCAGGCAUAACAACGUGAUUGGGUAAUGCUUGCUAACACAAAGUUAAGGACCUGGAGAGAGAUGGAUUGUGCAAGUUGAUACUUAUAACAAAUAUUUGACGAGGCUUCACUGUUUCGGAGUGGUGUCCUGCCUGCCUACCACAGACCGACAGCACUUCUCUACCCAGGCGUGAUGAAGCACGUGGUUUUGCAGAGCUGUGACAAGGACUGAGCUUCUCCGCAAACUGCCUCUGAAACAAGACUGGGACUCUUCAUCAUAACCUCAAAUUUGCUUAUCCAGGAGAACGUAGCCAAGCAUUGCCUGUUACCUCUGAUGCUGCAGGAAAGCCUAUAGAAGGGAUGGGCGUUACAGUGCGGCUCGGCCUCUUCCCAAUCCCCUCCGCUCGGGAUCGUUGUGAGCUAAAAGAUCAGACCUGUUGGUUUGACAUGGAUGGUAUCGGCUGGGGCCAGCGAGAAGCAAGAAGUGCUGGCAGUAUGUACUAUCUCCAUUCCACGGCAAGCUGCAAUCUGGUGGUUUCCAGUUUCCGCAUGGCCUUUUCCUUUCCUACCCCGGUUACAUUGCAGUAGGCAGCCUAGAAGUGCCACAAACACGAAACGUCGUGGCUAAGGCGUUGUCUGAGGGGGGAAAGGUGAAUUCCCCCUUGCUAAGCAAGAUGAAAAGCAUCAUUUGUGGUGACUUCUGUUUUUUGGGUGUCCGGGAACAGUGAGGAAUUGAGCAGAAGUCCACCCCCACCUCCCCCCCAAAAACAAACAACCCCCCGCAAAAAACCAAACCAGCGAGCAGGUAACCCUAAGAGAAGGCAAGAUAAUGCUGUAUUACGGCGCCCUCCUGCACAUCACAUCCAUCCUUCCCGUAGGUAACUACAACCAGCUGUUGCUCGUCCAGUGGGGACAAAGUAGUGCAUGUGCUGGACACACGGCGCUAUCUGUUGUCAGCACACUGGUGGCAGUAAGAGGCUAUGUCUUCUCAUGGUCGUUCCCAGCAAUGUUAGUUGAAUAGUCCUGGUGGCUGAAUUCAGGCCUAUGGGUUUUGCAGGCAAAAGAAGGUGCACUAGCCCCCCACAACCCUCUGGGAUGUGCCAGUGAAGAACAAAGGAAACUAAUUGUUGGGCUAGAUGACCUCCUGAGGCCCGCUCCAACCCAAACUUUCUAUAAUCUAAUGCUGUUCCCUGUCUCUCUCUCUCUCCUUCUGUCUCUGUGAACCCGUAACUCUUUGUGAUCAAAGGUUUCGAUCGCAACUCACAGUUCAAGCAGAAUUCAUAAUGACGUUUCGCCUCUGUCUAGGGCCGUGAAGUCCUAGCCAUGUCAUCAGCGCCAGCUCCAGGCUUUGGCCUGGUCCAGUUCAGUUGGCAGGGGUUUGAACACUGGCAUGAAUUGGCGCCACUUCACUGCACUUGCCUUUUGCACAUUGCCAGCUGUAACGGGGCCCCUGCCCCGGUAUUAGAAUGGGAAGAGGAUCCGGGGUGCCUGGCUCUUUUCCCCUUCUUCCUCUCUUACUCGGUUUUGCGGAUGCCUCCUUUCCCUGGUAGAGGUCCCUUCUCCUCGGUUGUGGGCUUCUGAUUUCCCCCGUUCCCACUCACUUCCUGCCACUUCAUUUCUUGCUAUCCCACAUGGGGGGCUAGGUUGUAGGGGGCGAGCGGGGGACACGCCAACUCGAAAUGGCACCGAGUGGACAGAGCGUGUUCUGUAUCCGAAUAAACCUGAGCUUGCCUGGACUGUAAAGCCAGAUGGUUAAAGUGGCCACAGGAGGCCAAACUUGCCUGGACUAUAAAGCAGAAGGUGGCAGAGGAAGAACAGGGCUCCAGGCCCCUACCUGCCAUGCAGCAGACUGUGCGUGCUGGAACCGGAGGUCAUGGGAUGUGGCUGGAGCCGAGCCGGGAGCCUGUGGCCCUGAACAGCAGACCCCGAGCUAGGGGGCUCAGCAAGAGUAAAACUGGGACAAGGCUGAGGGGCAGCCUUGGACCAGGCAGGGCUCGCCUCUUCAAAGCAUGCCUCGCCCUCUGUACAUUAAGCCUCCCCUACUAUAACAUUAAAGGCAUUGCAGGUGACGGGAGAGAUCGGAGGCGCUAGUAGGCCUCUAGAGGCAGGUACCCUGUAGCACAAGACUGGGAAAUUAUUUUGGCUAACGGGCCACUUAAUGACUUUUGGUGAGCUGUCGAGAGCCCCUGCCCUGAUCACCGUCUUGCAACUGGAAAUCCUGCCCCUAACCCCUGACUUUUGCCCCUGGAAACGGUCCUUUUGGGAGGGGGGACUUGCCAUCUUGGAACUGGGAAAAAAACCCAAAUCGUACUAAAAAUCAAACGUCUACUAUAACAACAUAUUUUUAUUUUAUUUAAAAAAUUGUUUUGUCCUGA
This is a long non-coding RNA of Alligator mississippiensis (American alligator), 3951 nucleotides long. RefSeq lists it as uncharacterized. The record is from RefSeq and is a predicted model, not a curated record. The transcript has 2 exons. Lineage: Eukaryota; Metazoa; Chordata; Crocodylia; Alligatoridae.